This 408-nucleotide ribosomal RNA is filed under the name uncultured bacterium. RNAcentral's name for it is "partial 16S ribosomal RNA". It matches the Rfam family "Bacterial small subunit ribosomal RNA", at positions 28 to 526 of the family's 1533-position model. The record is from RNAcentral.
GACGAACGCUGGCGGCGUGCUUAACACAUGCAAGUCGAACGAAGUGGCGAACGGGUGAGUAACGCGUAAUCAACCUGCCCUUCAGAGGGGGACAACAGUUGGAAACGACUGCUAAUACCGCAUACUGAAGGAGGGGAUUGCGUCUGAGUAGCUAGUUGGAGGGGUAACGGCCCACCAAGGCGAGGAUCAGUAGCCGGUCGGGGAGGAGGAACGGCAACAUUGGGACUGAGACACGGCCCAGACUCCUACGGGAGGGAGCAGUGGGGAAUCGUCCGCAAUGGAUGAAAGUCUGACGAAGAAACGGGGCGUGAGGGAUGACGGCCGUCGGGUGGUAAAGCUCUGUUAAUCGGGACGCGGUACCGGAAGAGAAAGCCACGGCUAACUACGUGCCAGCAGCCGCGGUAAUUC